UUUUCUAAAAGAUAUGUUUUAAUUCAACAAGUAAUUAUUUUGAGGAAGUUCUAUGGCCUGUGUAAUGCAGGAUGUCAGACUAGAUAAUCACAGAGGUCCCUCCUAGUUUUAGAAUCUGUAACUCUACAGAAGAGCUGCCAAUAUGCAGAGAAUGUGGGAGAAUGGAAGAUUGUUGGGAGGAUGUUGGGGCCAAUCUCCAAAAUUUAGAUCUGGAGUGUGAACACCUCAAAGUUAGAGCCUGGUAUUUUGGAUUAGCCCAUUAUAUAGAGAGAAGGGUGACAUCUGAAACUGCGUUUAUAUUCCUAACUCUCCAGAGUUUGGGGGUGUUCAGAUCCAUGGUUUUGGUUUCAGCCCAUCUUUGUCUGGAAGUUCAUGGUAUUCCUCAGGAUGAGACUAGCCUUACAUGGUUUCAGAAAACCUUCUGUUAGCCAAAUAAUUCUUAACAGGCCUGGCAUUCAGAUCAGAAACAUGCAAGCUAUUACCAACCUGCAUUAUAAAGACAUAUCAAGCUUUCCCUUCUAAUGGGAAAAUUAUUUGGAUGAAUAAAUGCUCCAAAGCUUGUGAGUUAACUGACAUUCACCUGGGAGGCUUGUUCCACAUCAACAUUCUGAAUAUGUACUGUCAGCAUGUGAUAAAGAGCAAGCCUUACAAGGAAAGUUUAAAAUUGCACCAUCAUGCUGGCGGGAAAGGCAAACCUGUGUGAACAUGGGAGCCAGUGGCAUUGGUGAGACUUCAGGGAAUGUUCAGAACAAGAAUAUUGCACCAUAAUCUAGUCCUCAUCAAGGAUUACUUUAAAGCAGCUCCCCAGGGCUGGAUGACAUCAGAAAGCAAGGGAAGUAAUGAAGCAAGGAAAAGAGUUGGACUUGAGUCAUUAGGGGUUGUGGUAUCUAUUUGUUGAGUGCCAUUCAUUAAUUGCUUAUGCUAGUGGUAUUAAUUCAUACUGAUAUAACAAAUCGUACUAGCCACGUACAUCAUUUUUUGAAUGGUCUCUGAUAGUUCUUAGGGCAAAUCUUUCUUUAGCCUUUUUUUAUUGUUUGUUUUGCACACCUAGUUCACCCCAUGUACUCAAGAAGGGUUCUCUGAAACUUGUACACUAUUUUCAUUGUCAAGAUUUACUUAUCUUUUCUUUUUUCCACUGAAGCACUAAGCAGCUCUUACAGCAAUGUAGGUGUGUUUGAGAAUUAUAAGAACCUUCAGUUCUCAUACCAAACUACACCCACACAAGUCAAUUCCAGUUUCAGUGACUAAAGGUCAUGUGAAUAGCAAAAAAUAACAGGUAAGAGCCUCAUUAUCCUAUUAAGAAUAACUGAAUUUGCAGCAGUGGCUUAUUAGAAAGGGAGCUAACAGCGCAAUCGGUAAGUCUUGCCUUUCCUUACAUUUGUUAGGUAUGCUCUCCCAUUACUAGUUGUUUACAAGUAAGUCCCAUCCCAUGAAAGAUAAAAACAUAAGGUGAGUUAUGUGCAAGUAGUGCUGGAAGGACAUACCCCUUCGCAGUGCUUAAUUUGUGCCAGGGCUUGCUAUCGCUGAGGCCCAGCACCUCUGGGCUUGGCAGUUCAUAGGUCCAGCACCUCUGGGCUUGGCAUGUCAGUUAUACAGUUAAAACAAUUGCUUGAGCCCCGGCUACUAAUAGCUUGAGCCCGGGUACCAUUUUCAUUACAAAUUAAGCACUGCCCCUUUGACUUUUAACAAACCAGGAAGAGAGAUGGACUGCAGCAGAUUUGGUUAUCUGCAAAUUGGGGGCUAGCCCCUUGCCCAGGGAUAGAUCAUGUGCACCACCUAAUAACUUGGCUUGGGAGUGUCAAAAGGCAGUACUGGUAGUAUGAUUUCAAAUGACGUGGAUUGUCAGGUUCCUGGGGCUGAUGGCAUCUUGUACGUUUGUCACUCCUUUCCCAAGACUGCAUACUCAUGACUGAACUCUCUAAUCAUAGUGGUUCACGUUCUCAGCAUGCUGUUUUCUCUUACACAGGAAUUCCCCAGUGUGGUGAUCUCUUCCAUUCAGUGUUCUCAAAGGGGUCUUUGCCUCUUGUAAUAUUUGAACUGAGCUGUAAACCUGGGAGAUGUGUUAGCCUGGAUACUUUGGAAGCCAAGAAGCCUGGGAGAGCAGUCAUUGAGAGGUGCUGCAGGGAAGGAGAAAUGGAGGGAAGGAAGCAGGAGAAAUACAAAGGACAAGGAGGAAAACACCAGGAAGGUGGAGCUUUGUUUGCAAGAAGCUGCUACCUUUUUAAAGCAGGAGAGAAGUAUGGCUGCCAGCCACUGGAUCCCACAGUAGGAUUUUUUUUUUAAAGCGAAGAUGGGCCAGCAAAUGUGAGAAAUCUGAACUAAGGCCGUUUGGUACAGGCAAACUCAUGUAUAGUUGUGCAAGAUGGAAGAUAUGGUUGUUGCUGAUUAAUAUCUGAUAUGACAGGUUGCAAUUAUAGGCCUGUCAGUGCAAUCUCUGCGUUGAGUCUCAUUCAAAUGAAAAAAAUUCACAAGUAUUUUAGAGUUUGCAUUGUGUGGAUCUGAUCAUUGUUUUCAGUGAAAAGUAGUGAAAAAACUGGAUUAAGCAUGGCUUAAAAUCCUAUUAUUACUGCUUGCAGUGAUUAAAAAAAAAAAGUACCACAGUGGGUGUGUUUUGCUUUGUGUGAAUGCUUCUGCUUUAUAUGACGAGGAAGAAAAAUGUUAACAGUAGAGUAUAGGUUAGUUUGAUUUGUCUGUACAUUUAAAACACUCAAAUAAGAUGUCUAAGUGCCUAAAAUGAAAUAUCAGCAUCG
Long non-coding RNA from Mauremys mutica (yellowpond turtle), 2750 nucleotides. RefSeq lists it as uncharacterized. NCBI's taxonomy places the organism in Eukaryota, Metazoa, Chordata, Testudines, Geoemydidae. The transcript has 3 exons. The record is from RefSeq and is a predicted model, not a curated record.